Long non-coding RNA from Vigna unguiculata (cowpea), 122 nucleotides. The record is from RefSeq and is a predicted model, not a curated record. Lineage: Eukaryota; Viridiplantae; Streptophyta; Magnoliopsida; Fabales; Fabaceae.
GUUGGAUUUGGGUGUUAGGAGGGACAUACUUGAUUGGAUUUGGAAGGAGCAUACUAUUUGUUAUUGGAUGUUAGGAGGGACAUACUUGAUUGGAUUUGGAAGGUUCUUCGAUGUUUAGGGUU